This 254-nucleotide ribosomal RNA is filed under the name uncultured bacterium. RNAcentral's name for it is "partial 16S ribosomal RNA". It matches the Rfam family "Bacterial small subunit ribosomal RNA", at positions 524 to 778 of the family's 1533-position model. The record is from RNAcentral.
UACGUAGGGGCAAGCGUUGUCCGGAUUUAUUGGGCGUAAAGAGCGUGUAGGCGGCCUGAAAGGUCAGCUGUGAAAACUCGAGGCUCAACCUCGAGACGUCGGUUGAAACCAUCUGGCUAGAGUCCGGAAGAGGAGAGUGGAAUUCCCGGUGUAGCGGUGAAAUGCGCAGAUAUCGGGAAGAACACCCGUGGCGAAGGCGGCUCUCUGGGACGGUACUGACGCUGAGACGCGAAAGCGUGGGGAGCGAACGAGGA